This is a long non-coding RNA of Haliotis rufescens (red abalone), 465 nucleotides long. RefSeq lists it as uncharacterized. NCBI's taxonomy places the organism in Eukaryota, Metazoa, Mollusca, Gastropoda, Lepetellida, Haliotidae. The record is from RefSeq and is a predicted model, not a curated record. The transcript is spliced from 2 exons.
CCAAGCUGACUAUAGCUGUUCGUAGGCUUCAGACAACCAUCACGAUGAAGCUCGUCUUGUCCAUCCUCUUGUUGGUAUCAGCGGUCAGUUGUGAAGUUACCGACGGUCCGUGGAGCGCCGUUGUCUGCAACAAACCAUUUGAAGUUAUAUCACGAGAAAUCAAUGACCUUGCUCUCUACAUCAGAUGUCGAUUCUACAUCCCUCGAAUGGAAAGGUGUCCAAGAGAUCAGAUCUUCAGCCUGCGCAAAAAGUACUGCGUGUAUCCAGAGAGGCUGGUAAACUCAUGUAACCCCCCCAAAAUGAACAGCUAUGGAUAGGCCGACCACUACGCCCCAGUGACUUAUGUCCAGCUGAGAAUCUGUCAAUAUACAAUUUGAAGCUGGCCGACCCAAUAUCUAGGAAAUCCAUUGUUAUCUUCAGCUGCUGACGUACGACUCGUGUGUAAAUAAACUAUUGUUUGCCCUU